GCAAGGCGCCGCGCCCGCCGCCCGGCAAAGACGAAGAAUUCGGAAGGGGACAAUCAGCAACGCAGCAGAAGGUUGGAAGGCACGAUGAUCAAUGAACUGAGUUUGCUCCAGUCAGCAAAGGUGUGCUUGGACGCAACCCAAAGCGGGCCAAGUCAAGCCAGCCCAAUAAACUGUACUCAUACAGUCAUACUGUAGUUGCACAAAGAUCUAUAACAGCAGUGUGCGGAAGCAUCAAGUGCGCCGUGAUCCUCGUGUCUGGAUGUCCGCUGGUGGUGGAGCUGUACGUGGGUGCCCUGGAUGCGCUAGUGGCGGCGUGGCUGCCGAGCACGGAGGGGCGCCAGAGCGUCAGCGAUGUGUUGUUCGGCGACUACGGGUUCAUGGGGAAGCUGGGGACGUGGUUCAGGUCGGUGGAGCAGCUGUCCAUGAAUGUUGGCGAUGCGCACUACGAUCCCCUGUUUCUGUUUGGGUUCGGCUCACCACAUGGGCAACAACUUGAUUAGGAGACAACCGAGAGGAGGGAAAUUCAACAUUUGAGAUAGGCCGCUCACGUGGAUGUGCAGUCUUGCCUUUGCCAAAGACAAUCAACCAACCUUCGAGGUUUCACAAGUAUAUGUCAAUGGAGCAGAUUUGGGUCAUUGUCUUUUGUUUGUUGUUGCCAAAAGAACACAGGAUAAGGUUUUGUUUGGUAUGGCUCCUUGUGGCUCUCUUUUGCUUUGGUUGUACGAACAGCUUCAUUGUAAUUCUUGUGAUAUGUGAGGUACAUCAUU
Molecule: long non-coding RNA, 767 nt
Organism: Sorghum bicolor (sorghum)
Lineage: Eukaryota; Viridiplantae; Streptophyta; Magnoliopsida; Poales; Poaceae
Exons: 3
Source: RefSeq, a predicted model, not a curated record